AGCGUGGCCAGUGGGGAUUCCCUAGCUGCCGGCCAUGUGUCUGCAAUGGGCAUGCAGAUGAGUGCAACACCCACACAGGCGCUUGCCUGGGCUGCCGUGAUCACACAGGGGGUGAGCACUGUGAAAGGUGCAUUGCUGGUUUCCACGGGGACCCACGGCUGCCAUAUGGGGGCCAGUGCCGGCCCUGUCCCUGUCCUGAAGGCCCUGGGAGCCAAAGGCACUUUGCUACUUCUUGCCACCGGGAUGAAUAUUCCCAGCAGAUUGUGUGCCACUGCCGGGCAGGCUAUACGGGUGAGUGGAUGGGGGCAGGCGUGGGAUCAGGGUGAGUUGGCUGGGCUGAGCACUCACAGCUUCCUCUUAACCGUGGGCAGGGCUGCGAUGUGAAGCUUGUGCCCCUGGGCACUUUGGGGACCCAUCAAGGCCAGGUGGCCGGUGCCAACUGUGUGAGUGCAGUGGGAACAUUGACCCAAUGGAUCCUGAUGCCUGUGACCCCCACACGGGGCAAUGCCUGCGCUGUUUACACCACACAGAGGGUCCACACUGUGCCCACUGCAAGCCUGGCUUCCAUGGACAGGCUGCCCGACAGAGCUGUCACCGUGAGUAUGAGUGUGGGAGG
RNAcentral lists this small RNA (616 nucleotides) under Pan troglodytes (chimpanzee). RNAcentral's name for it is "retained intron". The record is from RNAcentral. Lineage: Eukaryota; Metazoa; Chordata; Mammalia; Primates; Hominidae.